AAAAGCUGAUUAUGAGUCAGCUGCAGGAUGAAGUAGAAUGCUUUGGCUUGAGUUUCGCCAAUUGGAUUAACAGCCAUACUUCAUAUGUGGAAGCUCUUAACAGCUGGCUGCAAAACUGCAUCCUGCAACCACGUGAGCGAACCAAAGGCAGAAGAGCAUUUUCCCCUAGACGAGUUCUGGCCCCACCAAUAUUUGUGCUUUGUCGCGACUGGUCCACUGGGAUUAAAUCUCUGCCUUCUGAAGAGCUUAGUGAUGCCAUCAAGGACUUCUUGUAUGACCUGCGGCAUUCAGUUGGACACCACUCCGAGGAACUGCAAAAGAAAGAAACUACUCCUGAACCGGGGAAUGAGGAAUUGGAAGGGAAAGAUGAAGAGAAGAAUGAUGAGAAGUCAUCAAAUUUGAAUUGCAUUCACUCGAGUUUAACAAGGGUUCUGGACCGUCUGACCAAGUUUUCUGAGGCUUCUUUAAAGAUGUGUGAAGAUAUCAGGCAGAAAUGUGAUACAGCUCGAAAUGCAUAUCUGAACUAUCGACCAGCACCAAGAUCCUUUAGUAUAUGAUUGCAU
Molecule: unclassified non-coding RNA, 563 nt
Filed under: Hevea brasiliensis (rubber tree)
Lineage: Eukaryota; Viridiplantae; Streptophyta; Magnoliopsida; Malpighiales; Euphorbiaceae
Source: RNAcentral